UCGGAAGUACACCACCUCAUCACCAUACUGUGGGAUGUAGCGCGUCCGCUCCACCUCUCUCAAGAGUAACCAGGACACGUUGCUCGGACUCCGAUGCACCGUGCUGAGGUUUCUCCUCACGUGGAAAUCCUUGUACCUCGACCCCACGUUCUUAUGCAGCUUCACUUUAAGUCUGCUCGAAGUUCUUCUUUCGGGCUUUCGGCGUCCAUUGUCGUCGCUGCUUCUAUCCCAGUCCGAGUCGUCGUAAGACGAGCUAGCUUCCCAGUGUGAGGGACGGCCGACGUUUCUCCUGCUUCUUGUGGACCUGCUGUUGGAGAGACUAACCACGCGACCCUGCGCCAGCCGUGUACUUCUCCUGCGGCCACCUGAAGCGUGCUCGUCGGCCUCAUAACACUCGGUCUGAGUCGCAACUUUGCGAGGCCUUCUCCUUGAGUAGACAGCCUUGUUCAUAUUGCGCUUCAUUUGUAUAUCGUCCACGUCCAGGUCCUCACUUGCCUGCUCUUCCUCGGGCUUGUAAGCAUCCUCCAGCGACUCACUGUUACUGCCUGGUGAAACCUCUUCGUGGUAAUCAGGGUCAUUGUCACCAUCUGGAGCUUCUCCAUUCUGUAAGGACUCAUUGCUCAGAAGAGUGUGAUUCUGCUCUCGUCUCUGCUGUUCGUCAAGGUAGUCAGCUGAAAGAGACCUCUCCGACUCGGACUCGCUAAUGAUCGCCCUUGCCACCACCUUUGUGUCUCCAUUUUCUACACGAGUCGCUUCAAGGCCUUUCUUGGUAUCACAAGGAACGUCUACCAGUUUAUCCUCUUCGGAGCUGCUGCUGCUGUGAUAAGGCAUGCGAGCACGCUUGGCUGCUUUCCCCUUCUUCCAUAUGUAUCCCUGUUUGUCGUCAGACGAAACAGCUUCAGUGGGAUUCUCGUCCGCGAUAAAACCAUCUGUUUCUGGAUGACUGUCAUUAGCCUCGGCCACGGGGACCUUAGAAGUGCCUUGUUCUGGUAUUUCGAGGCUCCGAAAAGUAUCCUCGUUGUUGGACGUUUGUGCACAGUUUCUCAACUUGAGUACUAACUUUCGCUGAGACCUUGGCCGCCUGCAUUCACCCACGUCCGAAGUCUCUGCGGGACUCUUCUUCGGAGGUUCAUCGUCUUCAGGUUCCUGAGUUUCUGUAAGAACUUUCCCGUUGCGUAGAAGCCUCUGGUUCUCGUUCUCUCCAGAUGUACCAGGUCUUUUGGCAUCCUCAGCGGCCAGGCGGCGUGCUUCGUCGUCUUCAUACUCAUGUAAGCUCGAAAACAUGGUCAACGCAUUCCGAGCUGCCAUCCUCAUAGGCCUCAAUGCAUGGUCCGGGUUUGACUUUCUUAUCCGCUUUCUAGACCUCAGCCUCUGCGUUUCCUCAGGCAUCAAAAGAGCAUUGUUUGACUCCUCCAAGCGCCUGCGCUUUUGCUUCCUCACCAAGGUUGCGAGUAUCUGUAGUGGACAAUCACCAUUGAAGUUAUCAGAGACGCAAAAGCUGGACGUACGUACCUCUCUCUUCUUUUUCCUUGUUCUUCGGUUACGAACCCCAUCAGAAUCAAUUUCGUCAAUUUCUUUGUCGGUUGUUUCCGAUUCACAGAUCGUACCACUUUCUUCAUUUCCAUCCUCGUCACUCGAGCUUUCUUCGCUCGCGCAGUAAUCAGAACCAGAAUCGUCACUCAAUCCAGUGACUUCUUCAUCCCAGUCCAUUGCCUCACCAUCCGCCGGUUGUUCUACCCAUCUGUUGCCUUGCUCGUUUGUUUGCUCGAUUGCUUGUAGAGCGGCAACUACUGCUUGAGGCUGAUCUUGAGGAAUGAACGCUGGAUCAUCAAACGUUCCCACUGCGAGCUGAACUGAUGGUGGUUGCCAGUAGCAACCUAGGAGUCCCAGACGACGUUGCUGGUACGAACUUUGAUAAGGUUCUGGAUAGGGAAUCAAGCCUGAAAAUGAAACAGAAAAAUAAGUUGGACGAGGUGAGAAGUCACCAGCUUACUUGCAUCGCACAAGAGAUCUUGAAGAUUCCUUUGAUGAGGAGGCAACUGAGUUUCCUGUAAAAGAAAGAUACUCAGUUUUUGCAAGAACAAUACCGGAAAAGAACAACACUCAGGACUAAAACUAAAUAAAAGCACUUACAUCAUUUUAUUUACCUGAUCGAGAACGUUUCCACGAGUAUCUCGAACAAGAGGCCGAUAAUCUCCAAGAAAAAGCUACACAGAACCCGAAAAACAAACAAACGCUGUUAGGAGAAGGAUAUGAAGCUAAUCUUCCUGAUACCUGGUCGUAUUUCGCAUCUUCGUCGUCUUGACUUGGGUAGAAAAAAGGUAGACCUGGCCGACCUCAUCGGAAACAACCAAUGAGGUUCCAUCCCUGAAAAUUGGCAAACAUGAGAACAGUAUAUGGACAUGAGAACAAGCUUACGGUGAAAAGUUGCCAUCGACAAGAUUAUAAUCUCCCGUCUCAAAUGUCCUUACUGGACGGCCCUCCCAGAUCUAAAACAAAAUUCGUGAUCAUUUUUUUUGAGAGAAUACACUUACAUCCCACACAAUAACUCGGCCAUUGUAGCCCGCACUCAUUGCAAUGCGAGGAUUGCAUGGAUGUACAUCUAGCACGUAAGUCUAAAUAAUAGAUGUUAAGAAAGAAUGGAAUCAAUAAAUUCCAUUUCAAUACCUGCUUGGUAUGGCCGGUUAAACAGUGCACCAGACUGCCAUCAACCGCAUUCCAGACACAUAUCCGGCAAUCUGCACAUCCAUGUUAUUCCAUAAAAUUAGUUCGUGAGGUAUCUUACCCAUAAUCGCGGCGAGUACAAAACGAUUGUCCAAACUCCAGACUAUCAUAUUAACACCUCGAGGAGUUGGAAGCAGUUUUUGUUGAGGUCCACCAGUUCGAACGGGAGGCUGUGGCAUCGGAGGGGGCGGUACUUUCAAAUGAUAAGCCUUUACCCAUCGACCUAGCUUCAGCUGGAGGAAAGAGGAGCAGUCAUGGCAUUAGUUACACAGAAAGAAAGGCCAUGCACACCUGUUUUCUAGGACGAGGAGACCAGAUAAUAGCAGUGCCGUCUCUUGAGCAAGUAACUAUGCUAUCUUGAGGAAACCUGAACAAAACCAACGUUAAAACCAGAUAGCAAUGAGCGGCACAGUAUACCAGGUUGUUUUGAACUUCGGUAUGUUGUCAGGGACGUUGUCAUCCUUCAAAAAGUCGACGGGAGAAACUUUGAUUGGCUCUGCACAACCACUGGAACAAAGGACGAUUGAUGUCAACGAGGACCAAGCCAAAGAGGCGAACCUGAACUGCACGUAGUUAACUACAUUCUCGUGUCCACUAAGAAUGUCAUGCUCAUGAUUUGGCCUUCCGGUGUACUCGUCCGCCCACUUUCUUGCGUUCCAAACCUGUUCUAACAAUUGUUAGAAAUAUAAAAAGUUCACUUUAAAUGCUUACCCUGGCAAGCUUGUCCGAACUCCCAGUGACAAAGUAUGAGCCAUCUGCAUUAAACGCACAGCACUGAAUCUGAUUCGUAGCCUGUGCUCGAUUCUCAGCUCCUGCAGCUGGAAACAAGCUUUUAGAAAACCGAAAAAACAUCGGCAGACUCUUUACAUUCGGGUUUGACAUCCGGCUUCGGCAUGUAGACACGUGAAUUUACAGAAGAAUCCCGAGCAUCCCAAAUACGGCAUGUUCCGUCUUCAGACGAACUUGAAACCACGAGAUUUUAAUACAACUAAAGUGGAAAGAGCAAAUUAUUAACACUUACGAUAGAAGAUGGUGCUCACAGCCCGGUCGGGGACUAAAUUUGAUGGCCGUUACGCCCGCCGUGUGGCCACGAAGUAUUGCAACCGGAACACCAUCUGGUAAUCCCCACUAUAGGCAGAAGCGAAAUGAGUCAAAACAAAAAACAAAAGCAGAAUACUUACAACACAGAUGGAGGAAUCGUUAGAAGCUGAUGCAACUCUAGUGUUCGAACUACUUACAGACAAAUCGGUUAUAUCCCCCUAAAAGCCAGGUUUUAGGCACAAUAUUCGAAACGGAUGCAGAAAAUAGUAUCUCGUGUCCUCUACAGCUACGAAGGCAAAGUCUAUUUUCUACGGACCAUAUCUUCACAAGCCGGUCGUCCGAGCCAGUGACAAGAUACCGUCCAGUACGAUCAAAAACGGCUGCACGUUUAUCGCUUCGUUAAUAGGUCUUGAAAACCAAAAAGAAAAGAAACACGUACCACAAUAUACCGCAUUACGAUGACCCCUUAGCACCUGGAUGAUUCUUAUUCUGUUCACCAGUACAGAAGGCUUGAUGAUAACAUGUUUCACAGUCUGUGAUGCUUUGCAAAUCCACCACCAAGUUCAUGGAACGCGGGAGCAUGAACUUGGUCAGCUUGCCAAUGCGGCCAUCGCAUUUGUUCUAUUCUCUUGGUAGAGAUACUAGUAGCAUUGCUUUGCUCCGCUGUAUGAAGUUUGCUCGGAUCAGCAACGGCAAGAUUCGAAAGGUACACGGCUUACAUUCCAAAAGCGAGAAUGCUCCUGACCCCAAAAGUGUAGGAACGUCCGCGGCGGUCAAUUGCUUGGGAACUUUCGCAUCAAGCAAGGACGCGGACGUGUCGUGAACAAGUAGUUGCUGCAAGAGCUUAACCAAGUGGUUGUUGUCAACGUUCUUAUAUCUGAAAAUCGAAAAAUAAAAAUAAAAAAUCCAUCCUUUUGUCAGCAAGACAAAUCCUAAGAAAGAAAGAACUUGGCGACACACAAUACCUCUCGGCAACUUGCGCGUAGCUGAGUGGGAACGACAAACCAUCGUCAUUCUCGUCGGCGGGUGGCGUUCCAUUCCUGAUGGUACCUCUGGGGCAAGAGCUUGUGCUGUAGGAGCUCGUUCCAGAGCUGGUCAGUGGCUCUCUCGUAAGGGCCUCUCCUCAGGAAGUGCAUGAUAACUUCCGCAACUCGAUCUCCUCGUCUUGUUCAUGCAGGUGAUGAUCAGCUCCAACAUCAGACCGUAAAGCCACCUACGUUAGUCAGUCUGCACGAGAGGUUAGCUAAGCUGCAUGAAGAUUGCACCCGAGUCUACUUGAAGACAGAAAACUUGAAAGCUUCGAUUCAAUGUUCCGUUACCAUACAAAGCAUUUGAACCCAGUGACUAUAUGCGAUAUCCGCAGCUCCAAAGGACCUCCUGAAUAAAUAGUCUCCUGAAUAAAUAGUUACACUCAUCCACCUACAAGGAAGUACCAAUUAGACAAUGCCAGGCCACGUUCAUGUCUAUGUUCUUGCCCGGAAAAAGACUUACUAUCAGAAGCUCACGACAUAUAAGCCUUUUUAUUUCGAAGAACGAAGAUCCGAAUCAGAAAAAAAUAUCCUGAGAAAAAAAAAGAACAGCUUUGUCGUUUCUAUGAAUCAACUACUGAUCAUUGAACCAGCAGCAGCGCCACUUACCCACCACUAUGCUCUUUGCACACGACUUGAUCAAGCCAUCCAAACCCUGAUCCAGUAUUUUAAAAGCCGCACAAAAUCUAGAUCUAACAAAUGCUUACCUGAUAGAGGGAUGUGGAAUAGUCGAUCAUGACUUGGUUGUGGGCUGCUAUAACAUCCUGGAGCAUGAAUGGGAUCCAUUUGUACAGCAGUGAGGGAGGAUUUGCAAGCGAUCCAUGGUGCAUUGUUGCCAUGGCUAGAGAAGUGAAUGUUGCAGCUAUGCAUGCUGCAAUCAAGGAGGACUUCCAAGCACUUCACGAUACAGUGAAGGAACCACGGCAACAACGUCUUAUUUUAUGGCACUAUGGAUUGUUGGCAAAUCCUCCCUCACUGCCGCACGAAUGCCAGAGGCCAUCACCUGGAGAUUCUCAGUCACAGCUCCCAUUCUUGCACACAUGGCAGAUGCCAGCACCAGCACACAAGCUGUGGUCACGAUGCACAGCACACUAAUCGCAAUGGUGCUAACAAGCACUAUGGCAAUCAAAAACUCCAUUGGCAAGGUUUGCAGCAAAGCCUUUGCAAAAUCGAAAAUGAAAUCAAAUUUACAGUAGUUAUGAAAGACACAAAUGACACUCUUACCAGAAGUUCGAGCCGCCCGCCCUAUCUUCGCAAGAACCCACAGUCGCUUUAUCUUACGUACAAUGGGCCACUGGCCACUUUCUUGGUGGGCCGCCAUUCGUACAGUGGUCUGGCGGGAACUCGAGUUCCUAGUGGAUUCUCGCGAUUUCUAUCAGUACACGGGCUCAAUGACAAGAGGAGGAGGAAGAGGAGAAGGAUGGCGCUCCAUCUCCUCGACUUCUUUCGUCCUCAUGGCUUUCCAGGUAUAAAAAGAUUGAGAGUGAUCCUCAGACUGAUCUCGUGUUUGACAAUGUAGAUGGAUGUGUAAGGAAAAUGUUUCUUUUCUUCGUUAACUAAGACCUCGAGAAAUUUUUUACAAAGCUCACAUUUGCAGUGCCUCAGAGAAGCGUUCUCUCAGCCACUCCACCUUGAGCACCGACGAAUGCUGUUUCCCAAAAUAUGUCCGGAAGUUGUCGAUCAGUAUCCUAAGAUCGUGUGACACCGCCAUCACGCUACGAUAAUAGUUGUUCUCCAGCCGCUCGCGAAUCACGUCCAUGGAGAUUGGUAGCGCAAUCCUGCAUUGAUUGAAAACCUUUAGCUUCUUUCUCAAUCGCAAGAGAUUUUUCCAACUUGCCUGUCAAGAAAAUCCGGCUUGCUCACGGCCUGCUGCAACCUCCACAAGUCAUACUCGUCCUGUGAAAAGCAAACGCUCGUCAAGCCAAGACCAAAACCGAAACAUUCCUCGAGUCUAUGAUCGAUCGCACAAAAACAAACCUUGGAUUGGUUCGAGUGGAGCACCUCGUCCACGAUGUCGAGCAGCUCACGCACCUUGUCCUGCUCGAUCUGUGGCGACUCCCAAGUUAAAGGAUUCUCAACGUCGUGAAGCUCCCAGGGGCAGUGGUUCGUCGUCGAUGGCUCGUCCUUGUACAGCACAUUGAUGCUGUCCCUGGGGCUGUUUGGAAACUCGGGCGACUUUCCCUUCACCUGAGUUAUCGUCCCUUCCCACCAGCGACCACCUUCUUCCUCGUCCGACCUCCACCACACUUGGCACUUGUCCCGACUGGACCACUUCCUGGCCAUGGAGGCCUCGUAGCGGCUUCUCUCCACUAUAAAGUCGGCGAAGUCUGUCAGCUCCGGCAAGUCGACGCUGAAGCUGCUGCCGCGAAUCCUGUACCCGUCCAUAAACUCAAGAGUCAGCCGGCAACAAGUGUUCCCCGACACUUCGAGAAUGAUGUACUCCAGUCCGGUGAUCUCGCAGAAGUCGACCACUUGCAGUUCCCUUUUCACGCUUCUCCAGGGACCAUCGUCGUCGAGCCGCUUGUUGUCUAAGUAGUCUUGAUGUCCCUGCGAUCGACAGUUUCAAUUCAAACAUAAUUCAAGACGAGCUCGUUGGAUCUCUUACCUGUCGGAAGUACACCACCUCAUCACCAUACUGUGGGAUGUAGCGCGUCCGCUCCACCUCUGUCAAGAGUAACCAGGACACGUUGCUCGGACUCCGAUGCACCGUGCUCAGGUUUCUCCUCACGUGGAAAUCCUUGUACCUCGACCCAACGUUCUUCUGCAGCUUCACUUUAAGUCUGCUCGAAGUUCUUCUUUCGGGCUUUCGGCGUCCAUCGUCGUCGCUGCUUCUAUCCCAGUCCGAGUCGUCGUAAGACGAGCUAGCUUCCCAGUGUGAGGGACGGCCGACGUUUCUCCUGCUUCUUGUGGACCUGCUGUUGGAGAGACUAACCACGCGACCCUGCGCCAGCCGUGUACUUCUCCUGCGGCCACCUGAAGCGUGCUCGUCGGCCUCAUAACACUCGGUCUUAGUCGCAACUUUGCGAGGCCUUCUCCUUGAGUAGACGGCCUUGUUCAUAUUGCGCUUCAUUUGUAUAUCGUCCACGUCCAGGUCCUCACUUGCCUGCUCUUCCUCGGGCUUGUAAGCAUCCUCCAGCGACUCACUGUUACUG
RNAcentral lists this long non-coding RNA (7945 nucleotides) under Selaginella moellendorffii. RNAcentral describes it as "long non-coding RNA (SMOE_LNC002092)". Lineage: Eukaryota; Viridiplantae; Streptophyta; Lycopodiopsida; Selaginellales; Selaginellaceae. The record is from RNAcentral.